AGAGUUUGAUCCUGGCUCAGGACGAACGCUGGCGGCGUGCUUAACACAUGCAAGUCGAACGGUGAAGGGGCUGGUUUUGCUGGUCCUGGAUGAGUGGCGAACGGGUGAGUAACACGUGAGUAACCUGCCCCCUUCUUCUGGAUAACCGCAUGAAAGUGUGGCUAAUACGGGAUAUUCUGGGUCUGUCGCAUGGUGGGCCUGGGAAAGGUUUUUUCCGGUGGGGGAUGGGCUCGCGGCCUAUCAGCCUGUUGGUGGGGUGAUGGCCUACCAAGGCGGUGACGGGUAGCCGGCCUGAGAGGGUGGACGGUCACACUGGGACUGAGACACGGCCCAGACUCCUACGGGAGGCAGCAGUGGGGAAUAUUGCACAAUGGGCGCAAGCCUGAUGCAGCGACGCCGCGUGAGGGAUGGAGGCCUUCGGGUUGUGAACCUCUUUCGCCAGUGAAGCAGGCCUGCUCCUUUUUUGUGGGUGGGUUGACGGUAGCUGGAUAAGAAGCGCCGGCUAACUACGUGCCAGCAGCCGCGGUAAUACGUAGGGCGCGAGCGUUGUCCGGAAUUAUUGGGCGUAAAGAGCUCGUAGGCGGCUGGUCGCGUCUGUCGUGAAAUCCUCUGGCUUAACUGGGGGCUUGCGGUGGGUACGGGCCGGCUUGAGUGCGGUAGGGGAGGCUGGAACUCCUGGUGUAGCGGUGGAAUGCGCAGAUAUCAGGAAGAACACCGGUGGCGAAGGCGGGUCUCUGGGCCGUUACUGACGCUGAGGAGCGAAAGCGUGGGGAGCGAACAGGAUUAGAUACCCUGGUAGUCCACGCCGUAAACGUUGGGCACUAGGUGUGGGGGGCCUUUUCCGGGUUUUCCGCGCCGUAGCUAACGCAUUAAGUGCCCCGCCUGGGGAGUACGGCCGCAAGGCUAAAACUCAAAGGAAUUGACGGGGGCCCGCACAAGCGGCGGAGCAUGCGGAUUAAUUCGAUGCAACGCGAAGAACCUUACCAAGGCUUGACAUGUGCCGGUCUGCUCCGGAGACGGGGUUUCCUCCCUUGUGGGGGCUGGUUCACAGGUGGUGCAUGGUUGUCGUCAGCUCGUGUCGUGAGAUGUUGGGUUAAGUCCCGCAACGAGCGCAACCCUUGUCUCGUGUUGCCAGCACGUUGUGGUGGGGACUCGCGGGAGACUGCCGGGGUCAACUCGGAGGAAGGUGGGGAUGACGUCAAAUCAUCAUGCCCCUUAUGUCUUGGGCUUCACGCAUGCUACAAUGGCCGGUACAGAGGGCUGCGAUACCGUGAGGUGGAGCGAAUCCCUUAAAGCCAGUCUCAGUUCGGAUCGGUGUCUGCAACUCGACACCGUGAAGUUGGAGUCGCUAGUAAUCGCAGAUCAGCAACGCUGCGGUGAAUACGUUCUCGGGCCUUGUACACACCGCCCGUCAAG
Molecule: ribosomal RNA, 1416 nt
Filed under: uncultured bacterium
Lineage: Bacteria
Description: bacterial SSU rRNA
Rfam family: Bacterial small subunit ribosomal RNA
Source: RNAcentral